Molecule: transfer RNA, 66 nt
Filed under: Euspira gilva
Lineage: Eukaryota; Metazoa; Mollusca; Gastropoda; Littorinimorpha; Naticidae
Description: tRNA-Asn
Source: RNAcentral
UAAGUAAAAGCCAAAAUAGAGGCAUCUAACUGUUAAUUAGGAAAAUGUGGGUAAUCACUUGCUUAG